RNAcentral lists this ribosomal RNA (468 nucleotides) under uncultured bacterium. RNAcentral's name for it is "partial 16S ribosomal RNA". It matches the Rfam family "Bacterial small subunit ribosomal RNA", at positions 28 to 507 of the family's 1533-position model. The record is from RNAcentral.
GGCGAACGCUGGCGGCGUGCUUAACACAUGCAAGUCGAACGGAAAGGCCCUGCUUUUGUGGGGUGCUCGAGUGGCGAACGGGUGAGUAACACGUGAGUAACCUGCCCUUGACUUUGGGAUAACUUCAGGAAACUGGGGCUAAUACCGGAUAGGAGCUCCUGCUGCAUGGUGGGGGUUGGAAAGUUUCGGCGGUUGGGGAUGGACUCGCGGCUUAUCAGCUUGUUGGUGGGGUAGUGGCUUACCAAGGCUUUGCCGGGUAGCCGGCCUGAGAGGGUGACCGGCCACAUUGGGACUGAGAUACGGCCCAGACUCCUACGGGAGGCAGCAGUGGGGAAUAUUGCACAAUGGGCGGAAGCCUGAUGCAGCAACGCCGCGUGCGGGAUGACGGCCUUCGGGUUGUAAACCGCUUUCGCCUGUGACGAAGCGUGAGUGACGGUAAUGGGUAAAGAAGCACCGGCUAACUACGUG